GGUUAAGUGACUAAGCGUACACGGUGGAUGCCUUGGCAGUCAGAGGCGAUGAAAGACGUAGUAACUUGCGAUAAGCCCAGAUUAGGUAGUAACAACCAUUUGAGUCUGGGAUUUCUGAAUGGGGAAACCCACGUGCAUAAGCACGUAUCCUUACCUGAAUACAUAGGGUAAGGAGGCGAACCGGGGAACUGAAACAUCUAAGUACCCCGAGGAAAAGAAAUCAACCGAGAUUCCGAAAGUAGCGGCGAGCGAAAUUGGACUAGCCCUUAAGCUUUACACGCGUUAGACGAACGGUCUGGAAAGUCCGACGAUACAGGGUGAUAGUCCCGUAGUUGACGACGUGUGUUCAGUGAAAUCGAGUAGGGCGGGACACGUGAUAUCCUGUCUGAAUAUGGGGGACCAUCCUCCAAGGCUAAAUACUACUGACUGACCGAUAGUGAACCAGUACCGUGAGGGAAAGGCGAAAAGAACCCCUGUGAGGGGAGUGAAAUAGAACCUGAAACCGUGUACGUACAAGCAGUAGGAGCAGGCUUCGUCCUGUGACUGCGUACCUUUUGUAUAAUGGGUCAGCGACUUAUAUUCAGUGGCAAGGUUAACCAUCUAGGGGAGCCGUAGGGAAACCGAGUCUUAACUGGGCGUUCAGUCUCUGGAUAUAGACCCGAAACCAGGUGAUCUAGCCAUGGGCAGGUUGAAGGUUGAGUAACAUCAACUGGAGGACCGAACCGACUAAUGUUGAAAAAUUAGCGGAUGACUUGUGGCUAGGGGUGAAAGGCCAAUCAAACCUGGAGAUAGCUGGUUCUCCCCGAAAGCUAUUUAGGUAGCGCCUCGGACGAAUACUACUGGGGGUAGAGCACUGUUAAGGCUAGGGGUCAUCCCGACUUACCAACCCUUUGCAAACUCCGAAUACCAGUAAGUACUAUCCGGGAGACACACGGCGGGUGCUAACGUCCGUCGUGGAGAGGAAACAACCCAGACCGCCAGCUAAGGUCCCAAAUUACUACUAAGUGGGAAACGAUGUGGGAAGGCUCAGACAGCCAGGAUGUUGGCUUAGAAGCAGCCAUCAUUUAAAGAAAGCGUAAUAGCUCACUGGUCGAGUCGGCCUGCGCGGAAGAUGUAACGGGGCUAAGUAGUAAACCGAAGCUGCGGCAAUGCACUUUAGUGCAUUGGGUAGGGAGCGUUCUGUAAGCGGUUGAAGGUGUGUGGUAACGCAUGCUGGACGUAUCAGAAGUGCGAAUGCUGACAUGAGUAACGAUAAAGGGGUGAAAAACCUCCUCGCCGGAAGACCAAGGGUUCCUGUCCAACGUUAAUCGGGGCAGGGUAAGUCGACCCCUAAGGCGAGGCCGAAAGGCGUAGUCGAUGGGAAACGGGUUAAUAUUCCCGUACUUCUUACAAUUGCGAUGGGGGGACGGAGAAGGCUAGGUGGGCCUGGCGACGGUUGUCCAGGUUCAAGUGCGUAGGCUUAAGAGUUAGGUAAAUCCGGCUCUUUCUAAGGCUGAGACACGACGUCGAGCACCUACGGGUGUGAAGUCAUUGAUGCCAUGCUUCCAGGAAAAGCCUCUAAGCUUCAGAUUGUAAGGAAUCGUACCCCAAACCGACACAGGUGGUCGGGUAGAGAAUACCAAGGCGCUUGAGAGAACUCGGGUGAAGGAACUAGGCAAAAUGGUACCGUAACUUCGGGAGAAGGUACGCUCUUGAUGGUGAAGUCCCUCGCGGAUGGAGCUGACGAGAGUCGCAGAUACCAGGUGGCUGCAACUGUUUAUUAAAAACACAGCACUGUGCAAAAUCGUAAGAUGACGUAUACGGUGUGACGCCUGCCCGGUGCCGGAAGGUUAAUUGAUGGGGUUAGACUUCGGUCGAAGCUCUUGAUCGAAGCCCCGGUAAACGGCGGCCGUAACUAUAACGGUCCUAAGGUAGCGAAAUUCCUUGUCGGGUAAGUUCCGACCUGCACGAAUGGCGUAAUGAUGGCCACGCUGUCUCCACCCGAGACUCAGUGAAAUUGAAAUCGCUGUGAAGAUGCAGUGUACCCGCGGCUAGACGGAAAGACCCCGUGAACCUUUACUACAGCUUGGCACUGAACAUUGACCCUACAUGUGUAGGAUAGGUGGGAGGCUUUGAAGCACGUACGCCAGUAUGUGUGGAGCCGUCCUUGAAAUACCACCCUUGUAGUGUUGAUGUUCUAACGUCGACCCCUUAUCGGGGUUGCGGACAGUGCCUGGUGGGUAGUUUGACUGGGGCGGUCUCCUCCCAAAGAGUAACGGAGGAGCACGAAGGUGGGCUAAUCACGGUUGGACAUCGUGAGGUUAGUGCAAUGGCAUAAGCCCGCUUGACUGCGAGAAUGACAAUUCGAGCAGGUGCGAAAGCAGGUCAUAGUGAUCCGGUGGUUCUGAAUGGAAGGGCCAUCGCUCAACGGAUAAAAGGUACUCCGGGGAUAACAGGCUGAUACCGCCCAAGAGUUCAUAUCGACGGCGGUGUUUGGCACCUCGAUGUCGGCUCAUCACAUCCUGGGGCUGAAGUCGGUCCCAAGGGUAUGGCUGUUCGCCAUUUAAAGUGGUACGCGAGCUGGGUUUAGAACGUCGUGAGACAGUUCGGUCCCUAUCUGCCGUGGGCGUUGGAAGAUUGAAGGGGCUGCUCCUAGUACGAGAGGACCGGAGUGGACGAACCUCUGGUGUUCGGGUUGUGUCGCCAGACGCAUUGCCCGGUAGCUAAGUUCGGAAUCGAUAACCGCUGAAAGCAUCUAAGCGGGAAGCGAGCCCUGAGAUGAGUCUUCCCUGAUACUUUAAGUAUCCUAAAGGGUUGUCGGAGACUACGACGUUGAUAGGUCAGGUGUGUAAGUGCUGUGAGGCAUUGAGCUAACUGAUACUAAUUGCCCGUGAGGCUUAACCAU
This 2884-nucleotide ribosomal RNA is filed under the name Vibrio parahaemolyticus. RNAcentral's name for it is "23S ribosomal RNA". It matches the Rfam family "Bacterial large subunit ribosomal RNA". Lineage: Bacteria; Pseudomonadati; Pseudomonadota; Gammaproteobacteria; Vibrionales; Vibrionaceae. The record is from RNAcentral.